UGGGCAACCUGCCCCCUCUCUCUGGGAUAACCCCCGGGAAACCGGAGCUAAUACCGGAUACUCCGGCUGGAUCGCAUGGUCCGGCCGGGAAAGGUCCGCCGGAGAGGGAUGGGCCCGCGGCCUAUCAGCUUGUUGGUGUGGGUAACGGCCCACCAAGGCGACGACGGGUAGCCGGCCUGAGAGGGUGACCGGCCACACUGGGACUGAGACACGGCCCAGACCUCCGUACGGGAGGCA
This 237-nucleotide ribosomal RNA is filed under the name uncultured bacterium. RNAcentral's name for it is "partial 16S ribosomal RNA". It matches the Rfam family "Bacterial small subunit ribosomal RNA", at positions 118 to 350 of the family's 1533-position model. The record is from RNAcentral.